CUACGGGGCGCUGCAGUGGAGAAUAUUGCACAAUGGAGGAAACUCUGAUGCAGCAACGCCGCGUGGAGGAUGACACUUUUCGGAGCGUAAACUCCUUUUAUAUAGGAAGAUAAUGACGGUACUAUAUGAAUAAGCACCAGCUAACUCCGUGCCAGCAGCCGCGGUAAUACGGAGGGUGCAAGCGUUACUCGGAAUCACUGGGCGUAAAGAGCGUGUAGGCGGAUUAAUAAGUCAGAUGUGAAAGCCAAUGGCUCAACCAUUGAACUGCAUUUGAAACUGUUAAUCUAGAAUAUGGGAGAGGUAGAUGGAAUUUCUGGUGUAGGGGUAAAAUCCGUAGAGAUCAGAAGGAAUACCGAUUGCGAAGGCGAUCUACUGGAACAUUAUUGACGCUGAGACGCGAAAGCGUGGGGAGCAAACAGGAUUAGAUACCCCCGUAGUC
Molecule: ribosomal RNA, 439 nt
Filed under: uncultured bacterium
Lineage: Bacteria
Description: partial 16S ribosomal RNA
Rfam family: Bacterial small subunit ribosomal RNA
Source: RNAcentral